This 460-nucleotide ribosomal RNA is filed under the name uncultured bacterium. Its description in RNAcentral is "partial 16S ribosomal RNA". It matches the Rfam family "Bacterial small subunit ribosomal RNA", at positions 338 to 795 of the family's 1533-position model. The record is from RNAcentral.
CCUACGGGAGGCAGCAGUGAGGAAUAUUGGUCAAUGGGCGGAAGCCUGAACCAGCCAAGUAGCGUGCAGGAUGACGGCCCUACGGGUUGUAAACUGCUUUUAUACGGGAAUAACGCGCCUUACGUGUAGGGCUUUGCAUGUACCGUAUGAAUAAGGACCGGCUAAUUCCGUGCCAGCAGCCGCGGUAUUACGGAAGGUCCGGGCGUUAUCCGGAUUUUUUGGGUUUAAAGGGAGCGUCGGCCGCAUGUCAAGCGUGCUGUGAAAUGUCCGGGCUCAACCGGGGCCGUGCAGUGGGUACUGGCGUGCUGGAGUCCGCGGAAAGCAGGCGGAAUGUGUCGUGUAGCGGUGAAAUGCUUAGAUAUGACGAAGAACCCCGAUUGCGAAGGCAGCUUGCUGCAGCGGAACUGACGCUGAUGCUCGAAAGCGCGGGUAUCGAACAGGAUUAGAUACCCUUGUAGUC